UCCGCCCCAAAGUUGCCUCCUGCAGACUCCGCCUUCUGCGAGCGGAGUUUAGCGGGAUUCUGUAGUGCUUAAGUCUGAGAGCUGCGGCGCAGGGGAGUGAAUCGUCUGCUGUCAUUCUAUGUUACAAGCCUUAGUUUCUCCUCCGAUUGCUCAGCUUCUGGGAAGAUGGAAGCUGUACUUUGUUGGGCCACGGAGGCGCUGAUCUUUUCGGGCCUCUGGUUGACUUCUGAAUGGCGAGCCUUUUCACCUGAAGUUUCCAUGUCUCCUGGGGAAUCCAGUGCUCACGGACUCGAUCUGAGCCCGGAAAAAUUGUAUGAGGCGGUAGUAGGUGCUAGGCCUACUGUUGAACUCCUUACCCUGAAAAACUCUUAAGCAAUGGAAGGCCUAGCAUUACAGGAAGUUUUAUUGGAGGUCCUUCAGUACAGCUGGCGCUUACUGAGUUCAGUGUGUCAGGCUGUGAUCCUCCGCUUUUAAAAACACGAAUUAGCGACUCUAUGCAAUUCCUGAAACUGUUUUUAAUUGAUCACCAGGGCGCAUUUCGACAGUAUUUCGCUAAGAUGCUGAGGGUCUCAAUUGUUGCGGCUGGCCUGAAACAUGUGAUCCUCCUGCUGCACCUGACGCGAUGGCUGGGAUUAGAGGCCUGCACCAAGAUGCCAGCUUGACAUUAUUCUCAUUUUGCAGAUGUGUAAACAGUCGCAGAAUGUAAGGUUCCUCAAAAACUAAUACUAUGACUAACAUGCAGACUUCAGCCAUGAAUGGGGAUAGAGUCAAGGGCAGGAGACAAAAGCUCUGAGAAGAAACUGAAAUGACCUGAUAAAGUUCUGAAGCAAUGUCAUGACAAGAAGAGGAUUCUUAAAAACUACUAAAGCUUCAAGAAUAAUAGUGGAGAAAUAAUCUAUAAAGUUUUGUGAAAAGAGGAAGAAUCUGGCUUAGAAGACAUUAAUGGGACUAUAAAAUACUCUAGGACUCAGAAUCCUAGUGUUAUCCAUGUGGGACUCCAGAAAAACAAAAGAGACCUACAGUGUCCCUAUCUUCAUCCUUCGGGUUACCCUUUCUCUGACCCUACCAUCUUCCAUCUUAGCUUCUCUGUGCCUCAGAUUUGAGGAGCAACCCCACAGCCAUCCACUUAGAGGGUCUUGUCCUCACAGAAAGCAGCCUAUAAAACAGAAUCAGUGUAUAGUGCCAAGAAUGUCCACAGAAGAAACACCCUGGGAGGAUUUUCUUAGAUGAUGUUUGAGCUGAAUCCUUAAGGUGAAAUACGCUUUUAAUAGUUGGAAACAGAAACAGCAGUUCAAGUGGACAGAUCAUGGCAAACAAAAACUGAAAUAAUGGUUUCAACCGAAAGUUAACCAUAAUUUUAUUUGGAAAUGUAUAUUACUUAUAUAAUAGAUGCCGUGUUCCCUUAUGUAGAAUCAUCCUCAGCACAGAAAUAAGUGUCUUCUAGGCAGCAGGUGUGUUGGCUGCUGAUGUCACCCACCAAUGACUCCCUUCCCAGGCAUUGCCCUCCACUGAAGAAGGCUGCCUAUAUGAGUUUCAUGGCUCUCCUAUGGUAACCCAUAUCCAAUAACUGGUUAAAGCAGAGACACAAAAGCCUAAGCCUUUACCUUUUAACAAGAACAGCUAUACAAGGUUCUCCUAACAGCUCCCUACACCAUCAACUGAGGCCUUUGUUCUGACUGCAUCAUGCUUCAGCUUUCCCCUCAGACAAAUUAUGUUUUCUGAACUAGAUCACAAGUAUUCUGGAUGGUACUCCAAUUAAACUUUGUACAUAC
Ictidomys tridecemlineatus (thirteen-lined ground squirrel) is the source of this 1772-nucleotide long non-coding RNA. RefSeq lists it as uncharacterized. The record is from RefSeq and is a predicted model, not a curated record. NCBI's taxonomy places the organism in Eukaryota, Metazoa, Chordata, Mammalia, Rodentia, Sciuridae.